RNAcentral lists this ribosomal RNA (244 nucleotides) under uncultured bacterium. RNAcentral describes it as "partial small subunit ribosomal RNA". It matches the Rfam family "Bacterial small subunit ribosomal RNA", at positions 26 to 285 of the family's 1533-position model. The record is from RNAcentral.
AGAAUCAACGCUGGCGGCGUGCCUAACACAUGCAAGUCGCACGAGAAAGGGUAGCAAUACCUGAGUAAAGUGGCGCACGGGUGAGUAACACGUGACUAAUCUACCCUCGAGUGGGGAAUAACUGAGAGAAAUCUCAGCUAAUACCGCAUAACACUUACGAGUCAAAGCAGAAAUGCGCUUGGGGAGGAGGUCGCGGCCGAUUAGCUAGUUGGCGGGGUAAUGGCCCACCAAGGCAUGAUCGGUA